This 244-nucleotide ribosomal RNA is filed under the name uncultured bacterium. Its description in RNAcentral is "partial 16S ribosomal RNA". It matches the Rfam family "Bacterial small subunit ribosomal RNA", at positions 529 to 772 of the family's 1533-position model. The record is from RNAcentral.
AGGAGGCAAGCGUUAUCCGGAAUGACUGGGCGAAAAGGGAGCGUAGGUGGUUUGGCAAGUUAGUAGCGAAACUCCGGGGCUCAACUCCGGAACUACUACUAAAACUGUCGGACUUGAGUGCAGGAGGGGCAAUUGGAAUUCCUAGUGUAGCGGUGGAAUGCGUAGAUAUUAGGAAGAACACCAGUGGCGAAGGCGAAUUACUGGACUGUAACUGACACUGAGGCACGAAAGCGUGGGGAGCAAA